CGAACGCUGGCGGCGUGCUUACCACAUGCACGUCGAACGGCAAGGCCCUGCUUUUGUGGGGUGCUCGAGUGGCGAACGGGUGAGUAACACGUGAGUAACCUGCCCUUGACUUUGGGAUAACUUCAGGAAACUGGGGCUAAUACCGGAUAGGAGCUCCUGCUGCAUGGUGGGGGUUGGAAAGUUUCGGCGGUUGGGGAUGGACUCGCGGCUUAUCAGCUUGUUGGUGGGGUAGUGGCUUACCAAGGCUUUGACGGGUAGCCGGCCUGAGAGGGUGACCGGCCACAUUGGGACUGAGAUACGGCCCAGACUCCUACGGGAGGCAGCAGUGGGGAAUUUUGCACAAUGGGCGGAAGCCUGAUGCAGCAACGCCGCGUGCGGGAUGACGGCCUUCGGGUUGUAAACCGCUUCCGCCUGUGACGAAGCGUGAGUGACGGUAAUGGGUAAAGAAGCACCGGCUAACUACGUG
This 466-nucleotide ribosomal RNA is filed under the name uncultured bacterium. Its description in RNAcentral is "partial 16S ribosomal RNA". It matches the Rfam family "Bacterial small subunit ribosomal RNA", at positions 30 to 507 of the family's 1533-position model. The record is from RNAcentral.